Molecule: long non-coding RNA, 722 nt
Organism: Cyprinodon variegatus (sheepshead minnow)
Lineage: Eukaryota; Metazoa; Chordata; Actinopteri; Cyprinodontiformes; Cyprinodontidae
Exons: 3
Source: RefSeq, a predicted model, not a curated record
CAUCUGUUCCUCCAAAAUAAAAGCCUCAGUGGUUCCAAAAGGUCCAGUUUAUAAUCCAACAUUUCUUCCCGUUAAUCUCAGUUUUGCUCAAACUGAGCUGAUAAACAAACAAACAGCGACCUGAUUCCAGCCAAUCACAUCCAGCCUUUCUGCCUGCGUCACAAGCAGCCUCCCUGCUCUCCGUCCGAACCCGCAGCAGCAGAGCCGGACCUUCCCGGAGGUUCGGAGGCGCAGGAGGUGAAGAGCAGAGCGGAAGCUGUCAGCAGGCUGGAGCGACGCACGGAGCGCUGCUGCAGCAUCCUUUGUUUCCCGGAUCUGGAGUCCAGCAGCGGCUCCCUCUGACAAUCUGCAAACGGCGCAGAGAAACCUUAAUAAGCUCCAUCCAGCACCCAGGAAUGAAGAUGAUGGUUUGAAGGAGCCAAUAAGCUGAAGAGGAACGGCUGGCUGAGGGCAGCUGAUCUCCAUGGAGACGCAGUAGGGCGUGGACUUCCUUCAGCCUCUGCUGUCCCCUGGCUGAAUGGAAACCCUCAUCCACACCCUGUCUAGUCUCACGUUUCUAUCUUUCUGUUAUUCUGUCAGUUUUACAUCCUUGAGGAUGUUUAACCACCAGAGACAGUAGAGAGGUAGAGGCGUCCCCCCCAGUCAGGCCCACAGUUUGAUACCACAGUAGUCCCCCAUUCUCUUCUUCGUCUCUGUCCGUCCUCUUCUUCGUCUCUGUCCGU